Molecule: ribosomal RNA, 395 nt
Filed under: Ochromonas sp. CCMP1393
Lineage: Eukaryota; Chrysophyceae; Chromulinales; Chromulinaceae
Description: partial Eukaryotic large subunit ribosomal RNA
Rfam family: Eukaryotic large subunit ribosomal RNA
Source: RNAcentral
CGAAUGAACUAGCCCUGAAAAUGGAUGGCGCUUAAGCGUAUUACCCAUACCUCGCCGCCAGGGUAGAAACGAUGCCCUGGCGAGUAGGCAGGCGUGGAGGUCAGUGACGAAGCCUUGGGGGUGACCCCGGGUAGAACGGCCUCUAGUGCAGAUCUUGGUGGUAGUAGCAAAUACUCAAAUGAGAACUUUGAGGACUGAAGUGGGGAAAGGUUCCGUGUGAACAGCAGUUGGACACGGGUUAGUCGAUCCUAAGCCAUAGGGAAACUCCGUUUUAAAGUGCGCACUUGUGCGUCGCCCGGCGAAAGGGAAGCCGGUUAACAUUCCGGCACCUGGAUGUGGAUUCUCCACGGCAACGUAACUGAAAGCGAAGACGUCGGCGGGGGCCCUGGGUAGAG